UAUGUCAGUCACUGGCAAUUCCCAGUGUCACCUCUUUUGAAAGCUUCUUAAUACCCAUUAGCUGUAAAAAUAAAUAAAUAAAUAACUGCACUAACAUCAGCCACUUUGUGAAAAUCCCCACAGGUAACUAGCCAAUGAUGUGCAUUCAUCAGUAUUUCAUCAUUCUGCUGUCAAACACAGCCUGAUGGAAAAGGCUACAGAAUUACAUAAGCCUUGAGAGGCUUUUUGGAAGAAGCCUUUUUAAAUGCUUAUAUAAAAUUGUUACUGUCAGAAUAAAAUCUUGUAUCUCUUUUUGUUUUUUGGGGGGUUUUUUUGGAUUGUUUUUUUACAGAAUGUAAAAAUAUUAUCUGACCUUUACAUUUUCUGAAAAGUGAUGUCUGAUGAGUGGACUAACAGAUAUGGCCCAGAAUAACUUGGAAUAAAAAUCCAGUUCCAUUAACUUCCAUUCAAAGUCAAGUUUGCUUUUCCUUCCCCAGAAAAGUUUCAGACAUACAAAGUUUUAUUCUGACAGUGACAUUAUGUAGAUGUCAUGUAGACUUACAAGCCCUGCAGUAAAGUGUUACCGAUUACUCCUACACUAGUGGCCUCAACUCAGCCGUUCCAAAUAAGCUCUUGUGCUCAAGUGAACAUGAAGAAUCUACAGUUACACAUUAAAAUAAUCCAGAACCUGGACGCGAAUGUGAAAUUUGCAGGCAGUUAGUAGAUUUGUCUGUGGGUUUAGUCCCAUACAACGUGCACAAGCUGUAAGAUGACGUUGCUGUACAGAAUGACCAUGCAUGAUGGUAACAUGUGCUUACUGGCUUUGUAAAUAAAAAAAGAAGUAAUGACAUGCUGCUCAAGAGAACACCAAAAGCCUUUGAUACUUUGUGUAAACUGUUUCAAAACAUUUUAAAACUCGCUGUUCACUUUCUAACCAUAAGUGCAUGUAUAGAAGCUAAGCUACAGCCCCUUUUUGAAUUCAUCAUAGUAGUGGCUGCAUUUACAGCAAUUACAGCAUUUAACAAUUAAACAUUGUGCUGUUUCGGAUUUUCUUAUUUGCGGCCUUCCAUACAUCUACAGGUCGUGGAAGUUGAAAAGGACUUAACGCAUCCUUUUCAGUGAACACAGUUCUGAGCAAUUUAAUACACAAUUACUGUUUAUUUACUGACUUGAUCAUAUUGUGGGGGGGGGGUGUUGGUAAAAUGUGGCCUGCGUAAAAGUUAUGGCACAUUUUUUCCCGAAUAUGGUACAAGAAAUGUGAACAAAAUUGUCAGGAAAAUGGCAUAUUUAACUGUGUUCUUUGUAGAGGGUGAUUUAACUCCUGUCCGCCCUGUGGAGACAAAAGUAUAUCAGCCUUCAGGGCACCAACAAAAACAGUCUGUUUUAAUUCAGAUAGAUAAAGGAUGGAAAAUGUAUCAUGUAAAAAUCUGUCAUAACUGUUUUACAUAGGACCACACAACACCGACGAGAAUAAAGAAAUAAAAAAAAUCUUAUUUCUGUAAGCAAUAGCUCAUAAAAUAGGUAAAUACUACAGUACAGUACUCCUGUAAUAACUCCUGUUAAGCAAAACGUCAGCGCUCUUUUCCCUACAGUGGCAAUUAGUCCUAUAACAGGCCUCCCGUUCAGCCGAUAAUGGGCUUCUGUCUGGAGCUCAGGCCUGGAAUGGAGCAUGAUUUGACAGCGGAGGACGAUGAUCGAAUUAGGGGGCCAUUUGCUAUCUCUUCCGGACAAGCCUUACUGUGCUAGAGUUGGAGACUGAUCUCAGCGCUGAUCGAUAGCUCAUCCGUGCCUUCAGCUCCAGCAGCAUGGUGCAGGAAGCAGCAGGGUGUGGGGAAGAAAAGGCAGCGAAGCUAGCUUGCAGCAAGAGGUCCACACUGCUUAAUAGCCUAAUAAGAAAGACCAGAUACAUUAUAGUCAGAAAGAAAGUUGAUACAGGGAAAAAGAAGGCGGUCGUUUUUUGUGUAAAACUGUGUGCCUUAUUUGUCUAGGCCUUAUAACCAGUGGAAAAAGCAGUUAAAAGUCUUAGAAUAUUCCUGCAAUAGUUUAUAUUCAUCACAGUUGCAGAUGCGUUAAGUUUAAUAUCCUGAAUUCCUUGUGAAAAGUGAUCAAAUCUUGAGACAGAUAACUUGCCAACAAGUAACAAUAGUUAACUGCAGUAUUUUGUUUCAUGUAUUUAAUUAAUUCUUGAAUACAAUUCCUUAAAAAUACCCAUUAGCUUGAUUUCUAAUGUUUAAAUCAAGUUAUUGGGGGCGGGGUGUUUAUUCCCCAUAACAGAAUGUAAAUGUGUGAUCAGUGUUGUUGUUGGACAGCUUGGGGAGGAUGUGCUGAGACUGGCCUGUGGAGCAGGUGCUGGAUGCUGCGUUUGAGCCAUUAGGGGGACCCAAGGGUUUCUGCCUCUUGUAAUCAAUUUAAUUGCCUUAUUUUGGCCACUCCUACAGCAUGAGCACUGACUGAGCACCACCUUCUUCUCCUUCAUCAAAGGCAGCUUUCAGUAAAACCAGAAGCACAGCAGCACUUUUUCUGCCUGGGCUCUCUGCAGAGAAUACACUCAGAUCCAGGUCUGGAAACGCCCCUGCCUCUUUGAAGAAGCUUGAAAGCUUGACGAGUUUGAAGAUGGAGGUGCAUUUUGAAACAGAGCCACUGACGCUUCGCUUUCUCCGGACUUUCAGAGAACUGCUGAGAUUUGUUCUGUUCACCUAUACAGUGUUAUUCGGUGCCUUGAUCCUCGCUGGAUGGACUACAUACUUCAUUGUUGCUAAAUAAACUAAGACACCAUCUUCCAGACGGUUGCUUUGCCAGCUACUUAGGUUUGUCCAGUGCAAUAUGACUUUGUUUGGACAUUGUUUGCGUGCUGCUUUUUAAGUAUAUUUUUGUAAUUUAUUAUUUUUUGUGAACAUAUGAAAUAAAUUGGCCAGCUGACUGUU
This is a long non-coding RNA of Pygocentrus nattereri (red-bellied piranha), 2903 nucleotides long. RefSeq lists it as uncharacterized. The record is from RefSeq and is a predicted model, not a curated record. NCBI's taxonomy places the organism in Eukaryota, Metazoa, Chordata, Actinopteri, Characiformes, Serrasalmidae. The transcript is spliced from 2 exons.